UACGAAGGGGGCUAGCGUUGUUCGGAAUUACUGGGCGUAAAGGGCGUGUAGGCGGCCCGUUAAGACAGGUGUGAAAUUCCUGGGCUCAACCCAGGACGUGCGCCUGUGACUGGCGGGCUUGAGUCCGGGAGAGGAUGGUGGAACUCCCAGUGUAGAGGUGAAAUGCGCAGAUAUCAUUUGGAACGCCAAUGGUGAAAACAGCUUGCUGGGGGUUUGCUGACGCUGAGACACGAAAGCCAGGGGAGCAAACGGG
Molecule: ribosomal RNA, 253 nt
Filed under: uncultured bacterium
Lineage: Bacteria
Description: partial 16S ribosomal RNA
Rfam family: Bacterial small subunit ribosomal RNA
Source: RNAcentral